RNAcentral lists this ribosomal RNA (275 nucleotides) under uncultured bacterium. Its description in RNAcentral is "partial 16S ribosomal RNA". It matches the Rfam family "Bacterial small subunit ribosomal RNA", at positions 78 to 351 of the family's 1533-position model. The record is from RNAcentral.
UCUAAGUUUGAUGGCGACCGGCGCACGGGUGAGUAACACGUAUCCAACCUGCCGAUGACUCGGGGAUAGCCUUUCGAAAGAAAGAUUAAUACCCGAUGGCAUAGUUCUUCCGCAUGGUAGAACUAUUAAAGAAUUUCGGUCAUCGAUGGGGAUGCGUUCCAUUAGGUUGUUGGCGGGGUAACGGCCCACCAAGCCUUCGAUGGAUAGGGGUUCUGAGAGGAAGGUCCCCCACAUUGGAACUGAGACACGGUCCAAACUCCUACGGGAGGCAGAUG